CCUACGGGGGGCAGCAGUCGAGAAUCAUUCACAAUGGGGGAAACCCUGAUGGUGCGACGCCGCGUGGGGGAAUGAAGGUCUUCGGAUUGUAAACCCCUGUCAUGUGGGAGCAAAUUAAAAAGAUAGUACCACAAGAGGACGAGACGGCUAACUCUGUGCCAGCAGCCGCGGUAAUACAGAGGUCUCAAGCGUUGUUCGGAAUCACUGGGCGUAAAGCGUGCGUAGGCGGUUUCGUAAGUCGUGUGUGAAAGGCGCGGGCUCAACCCGCGGACGGCACAUGAUACUGCGAGACUAGAGUAAAGGAGGGGGAACUGGAAUUCUUGGUGUAGCAGUGAAAUGCGUAGAUAUCGAGAGGAACACUAGUGGCGAAGGCGGGUUACUGGACAUUAACUGACGCUGAGGCACGAAGGCGAGGGGAGCGAAAGGGAUUAGAUACCCCGGUAGUC
RNAcentral lists this ribosomal RNA (446 nucleotides) under uncultured bacterium. RNAcentral's name for it is "partial 16S ribosomal RNA". It matches the Rfam family "Bacterial small subunit ribosomal RNA", at positions 338 to 795 of the family's 1533-position model. The record is from RNAcentral.